UCUGAUUUAGAACCCUUCUUAAGAACAAGUAUCCGGGGGUUUUGAAAAGAACGACUGAGUGACCUUUGCAUGACAAGGAAUCGGCGCCUAACACAUUUGGGCGAACCCUGCAAUACAAAAUGGAUAUCGGAAGCAAAAGACUUACAAAAGCAGCUAUGAAGCUAAGAAACUUCAAACUGACCCAUUCUCCGAUACUACAGUAAAAAUUUGUACUAUAAUGGACAUAGUUCCAUCAUCAGCUCCAACAGUGACAUACUGUCAAACAAAUGGAGGCACAAUUUUUGUUUUAGGCAUCAAUUGGUAUCAGAACCACUGAAAUUCAAUUCAACCUAACACGAAGUCACAAACACCUGAAAAUGAACAACCAUCUCAUAAGUCACUCUUUGAAUUGGAUUUAAAAUGAAUAUGUACUAUAAAAAUAAUUUGAAAAAUUGGGAAUAAGACAAACAAAUGAAAGUGACUAAAAAGAGAAGAUGAUGUAAUCAAAGAAAUAAAUGAAAUGACUUCACAUAUUUUCUGUUUAGUGCCCAGCAAGAGGACUGCAACUUAUAAUUCCUCCUGUUUUCUUCUGAUUAACUCUGCCACUUUUCUCCAGUACUGGCUCUUCUCUAUAGCUGCCAUUUCCUUCUAUUACCUAAAUGUUUCCAAAGCAACUAUUAUAUACCUUAUACAUAAAAUAGUACAGCAGGUUUCACUCUGCUAAUACCAGUCAUAAACAAGAAGGGUCAUUCAAUUUCAAAGUAAAUUUAACUAAUGAUAUAAUGAUUAAGGGAUUUAUAUGCCAAUGUUAUAGUGCUACGUUUGUGCAUUGUCAUCAUUGGGCAAACCUUUGUCAACCUUUAGAAGAAAGAGUUCCAACCAACAAAUUAAAAUUUAUAAGACAAUAAAUAGAGUUACUUUCAAACUAAUAAUUCUUAUAAUCAACCCAUAAAUCACAGAAGAACUACAUUGCUUCUUAGCCUAGCAAGAAACAAAUAAGCAAAAAAAAUCACAGAAACAGGCCCAAACAACUCAAGUGCUAAACAACCCCUCUAAAAACCAGAAGACCCCUGCCUAAACCCAGCCAGAGUGCUGUAGCAGAACAAAAAAUAGAAGAAAAUGCCGCAGCAAAAAAACAAUACCCAACAUGACAGAAUCAAUGUACACAUGCCUCUAUACAUGUUCAAUCAAUUAGCUUGGAUUAGUCACAGAGCAACCAUCUCUAAAGUCUAGCUAUAUAACAAGUCACAUGACAAAAUCAAUGUACAUGUUCAAUCAAUAGUUUUCAUAUCUAAAGUCUUGUUACUUUGUUUUCAUAUCUAAAGUGUUUUGUUCAAUCAAUAGUUAUAAAGAACAAAAUAUAAUAGAACCUGCUAUAGUAACCAUUGGAAUCUUUUCUUAAUAAAAAACACCUUCCUCUUCAAAUUGAACAUAUAUGGUGAUAUGUUUAUAUCAAUGAGGUAUUCCACAUAUAUGAGAGCAAUAAUUGUUCAAUUUGGAGAUUUGGCUCUGGAAAUCCAACACUUAUUAAAUUUCUAACUACAUUGAAGAAAAAGAAACAUAACAAGAAAACACAAAGUGGCUUAUGUAUGUGUGUGAAAAUUCCUUUGGAUUAUGAAAAGGAAAACCAAUGCUAUAUAUAUUUGUCUAUUCUUCUUUAUCAAUCAAACAUCAAAACUGCAGUUAAUUUAAGCCCUUCUUAACAAAUAAGUAGGACUAUGGAAUAAUAGGCAUAAAUGAGCAAGUCAUAAGUUCUUAAAAUAAGAAUAAAUAAGAGAAAAAUAGCCCUAAAGAGAAAAAUAGCAAGAACAUGAGGAAUACAUUAGAGAAGAAUCAAACCUGGUAGAAGAGAAGAAUCAAAUUUGACCAAAGAGAAGUAACGGCAAACAUUUAGAUGAGAGGAAGAACACAAUUGAUGUUUGCUCCAAUACAUCUAACACAUAGACAAAUGUGUACUCUAGUUGGAUUAAUUGGUUAACCAUGAGAACAUUAUAGAUGCAAUCAAGGGACUAGAGUCAUAUCAUGCAAUGAUCAACACAAACUCAUACUAUAGCACAUCAGCAGACUAUAGUUUGUCUGAGUAUUUAUGUCAAACACUUGGUGAGCAACAAAUAAAUGAUAAAAGUAUUGAGCAAUGAUAACAAUUUGUGGUCACAAACUAGAAACCCAGAAAAAACACAAAGCAGUAAGUACCAAACACAUAAUAGAGAAUAAGAAAACGCAUCAACUAUGGAUGAAACAGUCUUAAAAAAAAACUAUGGAUGUAACAAAAAGGAACUGCUAAAGAAAGGGAUCAAACAAAAAUAUAUAGACCUUGGUAACUACGACGACAUAUUAGAGAUUGAGCAACCAUGAUGACUACGGAUGAGCGCCAUGGAUUGUAGAUAAGUCAUUGCGGCUGGGUUCGAUGGAUUCUAGGGUAUUUGCGCUCGAUUGAUUUGUGGGUGAGUCAGAGUGAGGAGACUAUGCUUAUAAAAAAAAAAAGAGUGAGGAGACUAUGGG
RNAcentral lists this long non-coding RNA (2481 nucleotides) under Trifolium pratense (red clover). RNAcentral describes it as "long non-coding RNA (TPRA_LNC006473)". The record is from RNAcentral. Lineage: Eukaryota; Viridiplantae; Streptophyta; Magnoliopsida; Fabales; Fabaceae.